This 253-nucleotide ribosomal RNA is filed under the name uncultured bacterium. RNAcentral describes it as "partial 16S ribosomal RNA". It matches the Rfam family "Bacterial small subunit ribosomal RNA", at positions 524 to 776 of the family's 1533-position model. The record is from RNAcentral.
UACGUAGGGUGCAAGCGUUAAUCGGAAUUACUGGGCGUAAAGCGUGCGCAGGCGGUUUUGUAAGACAGAGGUGAAAUCCCCGGGCUCAACCUGGGAACUGCCUUUGUGACUGCAAGGCUUGAGUGCGGCAGAGGGGGAUGGAAUUCCGCGUGUAGCAGUGAAAUGCGUAGAUAUGCGGAGGAACACCGAUGGCGAAGGCAAUCCCCUGGGCCUGCACUGACGCUCAUGCACGAAAGCGUGGGGAGCAAACAGG